CGGCAGGCCUAACACAUGCAAGUCGAACGGUAGCACAGAGAGCUUGCUCUCGGGUGACGAGUGGCGGACGGGUGAGUAAUGUCUGGGAAACUGCCCGAUGGAGGGGGAUAACUACUGGAAACGGUAGCUAAUACCGCAUAAUGUCGCAAGACCAAAGUGGGGGACCUUCGGGCCUCACACCAUCGGAUGUGCCCAGAUGGGAUUAGCUAGUUGGUGAGGUAAUGGCUCACCAAGGCGACGAUCCCUAGCUGGUCUGAGAGGAUGACCAGCCACACUGGAACUGAGACACGGUCCAGACUCCUACGGGAGGCAGCAGUGGGGAAUAUUGCACAAUGGGCGCAAGCCUGAUGCAGCCAUGCCGCGUGUAUGAAGAAGGCCUUCGGGUUGUAAAGUACUUUCAGCGAGGAGGAAGGCAUUAAGGUUAAUAACCUUAGUGAUUGACGUUACUCGCAGAAGAAGCACCGGCUAACUCCGUGCCAGCAGCCGCGGUAAUACGGAGGGUGCAAGCGUUAAUCGGAAUUACUGGGCGUAAAGCGCACGCAGGCGGUCUGUCAAGUCAGAUGUGAAAUCCCCGGGGCUCAACCUGGGAACUGCAUUCGAAACUGGCAGGCUAGAGUCUUGUAGAGGGGGGUAGAAUUCCAGGUGUAGCGGUGAAAUGCGUAGAGAUCUGGAGGAAUACCGGUGGCGAAGGCGGCCCCCUGGACAAAGACUGACGCUCAGGUGCGAAAGCGUGGGGAGCAAACAGGAUUAGAUACCCUGGUAGUCCACGCCGUAAACGAUGUCUAUUUGGAGGUUGUUCCCUUGAGGAGUGGCUUCCGGAGCUAACGCGUUAAAUAGACCGCCUGGGGAGUACGGCCGCAAGGUUAAAACUCAAAUGAAUUGACGGGGGCCCGCACAAGCGGUGGAGCAUGUGGUUUAAUUCGAUGCAACGCGAAGAACCUUACCUACUCUUGACAUCCACGGAAUUUAGCAGAGAUGCUUUAGUGCCUUCGGGAACCGUGAGACAGGUGCUGCAUGGCUGUCGUCAGCUCGUGUUGUGAAAUGUUGGGUUAAGUCCCGCAACGAGCGCAACCCUUAUCCUUUGUUGCCAGCGGUUCGGCCGGGAACUCAAAGGAGACUGCCAGUGAUAAACUGGAGGAAGGUGGGGAUGACGUCAAGUCAUCAUGGCCCUUACGAGUAGGGCUACACACGUGCUACAAUGGCAUAUACAAAGAGAAGCGACCUCGCGAGAGCAAGCGGACCUCAUAAAGUAUGUCGUAGUCCGGAUUGGAGUCUGCAACUCGACUCCAUGAAGUCGGAAUCGCUAGUAAUCGUAGAUCAGAAUGCUACGGUGAAUACGUUCCCGGGCCUUGUACACACCGCCCGUCACACCAUGGGAGUGGGUUGCAAAAGAAGUAGGUAGCUUAACCUUCGGGAGGGCGCUUACCACUUUGUGAUUCAUGACUGGGGUGAAGUCAUAA
This 1460-nucleotide ribosomal RNA is filed under the name uncultured organism. Its description in RNAcentral is "SSU rRNA". It matches the Rfam family "Bacterial small subunit ribosomal RNA". The record is from RNAcentral.